RNAcentral lists this long non-coding RNA (295 nucleotides) under Panicum hallii. RNAcentral describes it as "long non-coding RNA (PHAL_LNC000915)". Lineage: Eukaryota; Viridiplantae; Streptophyta; Magnoliopsida; Poales; Poaceae. The record is from RNAcentral.
GAGUAUUAGUAUACUCAGCCUUGCUAGUUUUAUAUUUUUCAGGUAAAGUCUUGAAGACCCUACUCUUUCCCUGCCUUGGCCCUGUGCUCUUCCAGACAGUUGGUCCGUGGAAUGGGAUCCGUCCCCGACCAACAUUGGUGAUACCGAGUGAUGUCGUGCCUGGGCUUAGCAUGACAUCCGUCUUAACGACGUGUUGUAAUCGUCGCGUAUGUUUGCCGCUGCCAAAAACCAUAGCGUUAGCAGUUUGUAAUGUACUACUUUUGAAAACUCUUUUAAUGCAAAUCCCUGUGAUGUA